This 254-nucleotide ribosomal RNA is filed under the name uncultured bacterium. Its description in RNAcentral is "partial 16S ribosomal RNA". It matches the Rfam family "Bacterial small subunit ribosomal RNA", at positions 524 to 776 of the family's 1533-position model. The record is from RNAcentral.
UACGUAGGGUGCAAGCGUUGUCCGGAAUUAUUGGGCGUAAAGAGCUCGUAGGCGGUCUGUUGCGUCCGCUGUGAAAACUCGGGGCUUAACCCCGAGCCUGCAGUGGAUACGGGCAGACUAGAGGUAGGUAGGGGAGAAUGGAAUUCCCGGUGUAGCGGUGAAAAUGCGCAGAUAUCGGGAGGAACACCGGUGGCGAAGGCGGUUCUCUGGGCCUUACCUGACGCUGAGGAGCGAAAGCGUGGGGAGCGAACAGG